RNAcentral lists this non-coding RNA (24 nucleotides) under Cricetulus griseus (Chinese hamster). Lineage: Eukaryota; Metazoa; Chordata; Mammalia; Rodentia; Cricetidae. The record is from RNAcentral.
UAGGCACAUGAUGCAGCACUGUGA